Long non-coding RNA from Rhea pennata, 917 nucleotides. RefSeq lists it as uncharacterized. NCBI's taxonomy places the organism in Eukaryota, Metazoa, Chordata, Aves, Rheiformes, Rheidae. The record is from RefSeq and is a predicted model, not a curated record. The transcript is spliced from 3 exons.
GUCAACAGAAACAUCUAGAUGUGCUUGUUCCAGAAGGCUUUUCGUGUUUUGCUUUGUGUCCUGCGAUGGCCUGCUCAUACGCUCAGCUGGAUCUCCACUUGGCAGCACCUUUUGGUCUAAUCAUGUUGCAAUGCAGCAGUUUUUACUCCACCUCCAUUUGGAGCUGGAUUUUACCUGCUGGAUCAGGCCUUCUCGAGGGAGCGAGAGAGCACCACCACGCUCUCAAGCCUUGUGUCUCCUCGCACACCUUGAAAAGCACUUCUGCUCGGGAUCGCUUUGACAGAAACAGCGAGCACGGCGCGCUCUGAGUACUGUCAGGGAUCUGCAGGAGGUCGUGAUCAAGGUCACCUUGGCAGCUAUCUUCAAUCAACAUGAAAACGCAGGAAGUUCAGGUGGAAGGAAUGCAUGAAAGUUGAAGUCAAAAGAAAAUGAUUUCUUUGCCUUGCCAGAGCAAGUCUUCUAAGCAGAAGUAGCUUUUAAGCCAUUAGAAGCUACUGAGUGCGACAACCAAAUGACCUAUAGCCCAGGCGGAGCACUCGAGCAGCCAGUGGCCAUCGGCCGUCUGGAUUUUGGCCUUUACGGAGGGCCCAUCCUGCCUGGCUGUCACCUGGCCUGUGAGAGAGACCUCCAUCUGCCCUGCCUGGCGGUGGUGAUGAUGUGGUCCACCUCGAGUCAUAGGCAGGAAAACCAGCUGAACGAUUCCUCUGUGCUUGGGAAGCCAAAGCCAUCUGAUGUUACCAGAAAUGACCAUUAUUGAAGACUUUGUUUGGCCUUUGAAUUGGUGCAUUGACCCAGUUUUCAAAAUGAAGUAAGUUGCCCACAUAAAAAAAAUCAGCUCUUUAAUGGACAUUUUUGCCCACUGACUUCUGUAUUUUUCUUCAAGUGUAAUAAAGCUUUCCUUAAAAGUGAUAAAGGCU